This 70-nucleotide transfer RNA is filed under the name Calomicrus sp. BMNH 846518. RNAcentral's name for it is "tRNA-Ile". The record is from RNAcentral. Lineage: Eukaryota; Metazoa; Arthropoda; Insecta; Coleoptera; Chrysomelidae.
UUAACUUAAAAUAAGUUUAAAAAUUUUACUUAGACAGAUAUUUUCUCAUCCAACCCUUCAUUCUAGCUUU